AUAAAUUUCCAAGUCUUAGACCUCACUUGCAAUGCGCAUUUUUACAGAUGGCAAAACGCAAGUUAACAAAACACCAUUGCUAAAACAAAAAUAAAAAGCGUAAGCCCAGACCCAAAAGUCCAGAACCAGAUCCCCAAAUUUUGUUUACGUUGAAAUCCCUAUAUCGAUUGGUACAAUGGCACAACUGGAAGCAUUAGAUGAAUCGAAGAAGAAGAAGCAGAAAAGAAAUCACGGGUCUACCAAAUUGUUUGUAAUGGUGGACUACCUUUUCCUCUUCAUCUUCUUCGGUUUCCUCACUUUCACUGUCUUCAAGAUGCUUCAUUUCUUCUGAUUAUUCUUCCACUUUUUCCGCCAAUCAGGAUAAUUCUUUACAUGUCAGUUUGAGUUCCAAAGCUGAGACGUUUUGAGAGAUCGGUUUGUUCCAGAGAUUAUGUUCUUUAAUUAUGCUGAAUCAAUUGUCUCAGCGGGGGAAUGAUGAAUGUAAUUUUACAGUCGGUAGUCCCGGGUAUAAGUUUGAUGCCGUUGUUUCAGAACCGCCCAAUGUUCAUUCGGUUAUUGUAUAUAGGUGUCGUUCAGGAGGCCUGAGGUUCAAAAUCCACACUUGCAACUCUUUCUUCUAUCCCAUCUCACAUUACUAUCUUCUUUAUACCAAAAAAAAAAAAAAAAAAUGGUCCAUGUAGAACAUUUCUACAUGCGGGAGUUGUUAGCUUUGUUGAUGAUGCAGGUAAGCACUCCUUUCAGCAAUUUAUUUGACCUAAAAGUUUGAAGCUAAUUAAGUUGCUUUAAUAAGAACCAACAAGUUUAUCAGGUAAUACAAUAGUUGAAAGGAAUCAAAUCACCAAUCUGCUCUAUGUGGGACUGUGAGUGUACUUGUAUUUUUCUUCUUAUUGCUCCCUUUUCCUCUUUUGGCUACAUUGUUAUGUCAAUUUUCUGUUGAAAAGACUUAAAAGAGGGUCUAAUUGUUUCUUCAUUUAGUCAGUGAUUAGCGGCUUUGUAUUCUCUUCAGCUGUCUCUUUUCAUUUUCACAUUGGACACAUUGGACCCACUCUUAGGUGUGAAAGCAUUCCGAUCUAAAAUUGAUCAACCUUUCAAUUAUUGACAUGGAAAAGUAUGUUUUAGGGCUAUGAAUUUUCUUUUAAUACUGUCAUGUAUCUUAUCUCGUUGAAGUUUAUGAACUGUAUAUUGAGUAGCAUACUUUUUGGAGAAUAUUAAUCUCUCUUCAUCGCGCUCGCAGACACAUUUGAAUACACUGAUGCUGGCCUGUUAUAAUACUCGUGGUCAAGGGUUUUUUUUCUUUUUAUAUAAAAAAAAAAAACCAUAAUUUAAGAAUAGAACAAAAAUUUAUAGACG
Molecule: non-coding RNA, 1350 nt
Organism: Durio zibethinus
Lineage: Eukaryota; Viridiplantae; Streptophyta; Magnoliopsida; Malvales; Malvaceae
Source: RefSeq, a predicted model, not a curated record